GAUGUCGAAAAUUGUUAAUUUCAAAUGAAUUCAAAGGAAAUGUGUGUACUUUAAAAAAAAUACCAGAUGGAACCAAUACCUUUAUCAUGAAACUCAAUGAUUACCUUACAAACAUUUAGAUUACACAAUCAUAGUCAACUUUAUCAGUAUAACAAACAAGGGAUGUAACCUUUUAAAUGGGACAAUAAAAUGCCCUCUUUAUAUUGUCUCCCAAAACUAUCUAUCCUUUUGCAUAGAUUUAUCAUGUAUUCAUAAAGGAAAUUGAUUUUCUAUGCUCUUUUUUGAUAAAUCAUACCGUUGAUUUUUUAUUCUGAAAUCAAUAAAUUUAAGUCUGUUGUAAGUUAAGACAGAAAAUCGUCACACAGGGUAUCCAGAUUCAAAACCGUGGAGGGAUAUGAAUCCCAAGGUGCAACUACUUUGGAUUGAUUAAUAUUUGUGAGAUACUAAUUUUUGUGAAUUUCCUGGAUUGAUGUGAAACAGGAAUUUCAAUACUCAACAAAGUGGGAAUUUCUAUAACCUUAUAUGCAGACAUUGGCAAAACUACCAAAAAUCAAAUAUCCACGAAAAACACAAUUUUCAACAAUCAUUGAAAAUUGGUAUCCACUAAAAUAAAAAAAUUUACAGUAAUGAAAACCAUGUAACUGUGAGUAAGUACAGUUUGAAUCCAUUCCCAUAUAAGAUUUGGAUUCAGGUUUUACCUAACCACUGUUAUAAACUUUUCAUUUUUUGCUCCUCACGAUUUCCAUACCUCUGAGAGAUUCUGAUUUGUAUACCUAGUGUAAUUUUAUUAAACAGCAUUUCAUAGGUCUACAUUCUUAUACAAUAAAUCGUGAGUUUUGAAGGGUUAUAGAGGAUUCCUUGAGUAAAUUGAUGAAAUUGACUAUAAUUAAUGUAAUGAUACAAAAACACUGUUCUGGUUAUAUAGUUAAUCUGACAGAGGAUCAUUUCAUAAUAUCCAAAUAUAGAUUUGUAAGCAUUUGUACAAAGCUAGUUUUUUAUGAUAAACCAGCUGUUAUUUCUUCUAACUUUUACUUUGAGAUUUUUAUAUUAAAUUCUAUCUUGAGAUUCUUGUUAAUCAUAAAUUGAGAUUCCUUUUAAUCUUGUUAAUCAAAAAUUGAGAUUCUUGUAACUCCUCCAUUGAGAUUCUUGUAACUCCUCCAUUGAGAUUCUUGUAACUCCUCCAUUGAGAUCCUUUAUAAAGUCCUAUAUUGAUUCAAUUUCAUUAAAUCACCUCUGUCAAGAUUUUUUAUUUUCAGUGCGAAAAACCUACUGAACUUUCUGCCAAAGUAAACUCUCUUUAGUUUACAUUAAUAACAAUUUGAUAAUAAUUUCAGGAGCAGGUUAAAUGCACUGAUUUUUAAUUUUUGUUUAAUUUUGGCAAUUUUUGCCUUUUUAAGAAAAGAAAGCAAUGGCAUUUGUGUCACAAUGGCAGAAAACACAUAUUUCUCUUUCAAUGUUUCUAAAACUAUACACAUAAGACAAAAAAUUGGUAAAAUAUACAUAAUAACAAUUUUUCUUCAAAAUUGCUUUGAUGUAUGAUAAUUAUCCAUCAAAAUCUACUCAAUAGAUUAUUUUCAUGUUACCAACUUUUGACUGCGGAUUAUAUAAUUUUUAGACAGGUAACCUUUUAUAUGGUAUGACAUCCUGAUACCAAGUCAAGUGCCAAGUCAAGGUAAAGAAGUAAAAUAAAGCUUUCAAUCGGUACAACUUUUGGGGAAAAUAAACUGCUUUACAUUUUCUUUACACAACAAAAUCUUUAGGAAACAGUAAACUUUCCCCUCAAAUUACACCUAUUAUAAGUUUGAUUUAAUUAUUUUGGUUGCUCUUACUUGACCGAGUACCAGAAUAUCCUGCAACAGAAACUGUGACCUGUUAAAAAAUUAUAUAAUCAGGAGUCAAAAGUGGGUAAUAAGAAAAUAGUCUAUUGUACAUUCUUUUUAACUAUGUACAAAAGUGACAGGAAUACCAUUGCUUUCCCCAGAACAGCGUUCAUAACAAAUUUUAUAUGUUGAUACAAAAAUAUGUUUUACAUUAACAAUUAUAUAUACAUUCCAACAUUAUAUAAAGAUAUAUACAGUAAUCUUCAAAAUUAAUAUCCCUAAACUUUAUAAAAAAAUAAUAAAUACAAUUCAAUAUAAAAACAAUGGAAGCUUUCACUACCUACUGUUAUCAGCUUAUACAUGUUAUAUAAGGAUAAAAGACUUAAUGAAAAACCUGAUGUCUGUAAACUAUCCCUCUAGCAAAUUUAAUGGAUACAAAUAAAACUGUCCAGAUACUAACAGGGAUGGAUCCUGCCAUUUUUAAAGGGGAGAUUCCCAACCAAGGAUAGAGGGGGUGGGGUCCAACCAUUCAUAUGUCCCCAUUCAAAUGCAUUGAUAUUCCAGAAAAAAAGGGGUUCUAACCCAAAGAAUUCCCUCCUGGAUCCUCCACUGCCUAACAAUGUCUAAGGGCUGUUCUGAAUUUAAACACAUGAGGGCAUUAGACCCUUACAACUUAUAAUAUCAAAUAUGCAUUUUACUGUUAACUUUGACAUGGUUCUAAUUAAAAUGCCACCAAUGACAAUUAACUAAUUUGAGGGCUUCCUGAUCUUUUCUGAAUUUAAAAUAACCAAAGAAAGUUUAUCAUUUAAAAAAAAUCUAAAAAUUAGUAUACAUUAUAUUUUUGAUUGAUUGAAUGAUUGAUGGGUGUUUAAUGCCACUUUCAUCUCUGGUGGUAAGUUUUCAAAUGAAAGAAGCACAAGUGCCCAGAGAAAACCACCAACCUUUGUAUUAUUGUUUGAAAAUUGGUACUAAUUUUGUUUCAAAUUAUCACUAAUAUUAUGAACGUUAAGGAAAUGUUGGAGUCUUAAGUAUUAUGAAAGAAUAUACUAUCCAUUUCAUGGAUGGAUUGACCCUGAUUUAUAAACUCAUGGAUUUUAUAUCUUUUGAGGUAAUAAUAAAAAGUAAAAAUAUAAUAUCACAAACACAAACUACAAUUAAAAAAACAUAGCUAAGUAACAAUAUUUACAUAAACAUCAAUAGAUCACAAUUAUAAUAUUAUCACUUAUUUCACUACUACAAAACAUCAAUUACAGAAAAAUAAAAGGCACAAAAUUUACAGCCUAGCAAGCUUUGAACAUAAUUCAUAUAUUUAAUUUUUCAUUUCAAAUAUCUAUUUUAUAACCAACUGAAUUGAUCAAUGGAAUUUAAAUUCUAUAUCUGA
This 3201-nucleotide long non-coding RNA is filed under the name Mytilus galloprovincialis (Mediterranean mussel). Lineage: Eukaryota; Metazoa; Mollusca; Bivalvia; Mytilida; Mytilidae. The record is from RNAcentral.